GUUCUUCUGGCGCACUCGAGCCUGGAGCCUGGAGCCUGGAAGUCAUUUUGAACACCUCCCCCUCCCUCACUGCUUCCUUUCAAGCCAUCCAUGAUGCCUGGCUGUCUCUCACUCCUGAAGUUGACCUAGAUAAGAAGCCCCUGAUUGGAUGAGAGGAAGAAACUUGCAUAAAUGUGCCAAACCCAAGGCUGAGCAAAUGGAAGGACAAAGAGUGAUUGGGCACGGACUUGUUGCUGACCCAGAUGGUGAGGAGCUCACUAUCUGAGAGUAAGAGGACCAUGGAUGAACUGUCAUGGGAUGUCAUGGGAUGAAGCCACAGCCAAGGAAGCACAGAGCACAACAGAAACGGUUCAUUUUGCUUGGGGUGGGGGAGGGGACAUGGAAGAAACAGUAUUGAGUAGGAAAUGAGAGGUGGGCUUCAAAGAGUAUGGCAGCUUUUUUUCAGGAAGGAUGGUAGGGGAAAAGCAUUUCUAGCAGAGGGGAACAGCAUGUGCAGAGGUACAGAAGCAUGAGAAAUCUGCUGCGUUCUUGGAAGAGAGUGUAGUUGGGAGACAAUGCAAGACAAGGAAGGGUGGGAGGGGGUUAGCCUAAGGAAUAAAGGAAAAUAAAAGCAGAAAAUCAACUUCUAGUGUUUGGAUGACUUUUUCUGGCCUUUCUCUAAGCUUUGCUUAGACAACCCAAGAGAAAGUUGGUUCUUCCCCUCUCCACAGUUUCCCUCAGGAGAAAAAAGGUUCAUUCAGAACCAGAUGAAGAAAUGCCUAGGGAGCUGAGUGUGGAAUGGAGAGAUCAAGCCAGCCUGAGACUUGAGCAAGGGAAGAGAGGCUGGGGAGGAGGGCCACU
This is a non-coding RNA of Manis javanica (Malayan pangolin), 840 nucleotides long. NCBI's taxonomy places the organism in Eukaryota, Metazoa, Chordata, Mammalia, Pholidota, Manidae. The record is from RefSeq and is a predicted model, not a curated record.